This 455-nucleotide ribosomal RNA is filed under the name uncultured bacterium. RNAcentral's name for it is "bacterial SSU rRNA". It matches the Rfam family "Bacterial small subunit ribosomal RNA", at positions 340 to 786 of the family's 1533-position model. The record is from RNAcentral.
UACGGGAGGCAGCAGUGGGGAAUAUUGCACAAUGGGCGCAAGCCUGAUGCAGCCAUGCCGCGUGUAUGAAAAAGGCCUUCGGGUUGUAAAGUACUUUCAGUCGUGAGGAAGGUGUUAAGGUUAAUAACCUUAGCAAUUGACGUUAGCGACAGAAGAAGCACCGGCUAACUCCGUGCCAGCAGCCGCGGUAAUACGGAGGGUGCGAGCGUUAAUCGGAAUUACUGGGCGUAAAGGGCACGCAGGCGGUUAAUUAAGUUGGAUGUGAAAUCCCCGGGCUUAACCUGGGAAUGGCAUUCAAGACUGGUUAGCUAGAGUCUUGUAGAGGGGGUAGAAUUCCAUGUGUAGCGGUGAAAUGCGUAGAGAUGUGGAGGAAUACCGGUGGCGAAGGCGGCCCCGUGGACAAAGACUGACGCUCAUGUGCGAAAGCGUGGGGAGCGAAACAGGGAUUAGAUACC